UUGGAUUUGUGUAAUAACCAGGAGUUGCUGCCCAUGGUGGGGGAGGAUAGGCAGAAGAAUAUUGGGAAGAUUGAGCUUGUGGUUGUUGUGGUUUCCCUUGUGUUUGAAAUUGGGUUUGUUGAGGUUGCCUUUGUGUUUGAAAUUGUGGUUGUUGAGGUUGACCAUGUGUUUGGUAUUGUGGUUGUUGAGGUUGACUAUGUGUUUGGUAUUGUGGUUGUUGAGGUUGACUAUGUGUUUGAUACUGUGCUUGUUGAGGUUGACCUUGACCAGGUGGAUAGCCAGGAGAAAACUGGGGAGACUGAGCCUGUGCUUGAUAUUGAG
This 321-nucleotide long non-coding RNA is filed under the name Daucus carota (carrot). RNAcentral's name for it is "long non-coding RNA (DCAR_LNC003824)". Lineage: Eukaryota; Viridiplantae; Streptophyta; Magnoliopsida; Apiales; Apiaceae. The record is from RNAcentral.